RNAcentral lists this ribosomal RNA (253 nucleotides) under uncultured bacterium. Its description in RNAcentral is "partial 16S ribosomal RNA". It matches the Rfam family "Bacterial small subunit ribosomal RNA", at positions 524 to 776 of the family's 1533-position model. The record is from RNAcentral.
UACAGAGGAGCCAAGCGUUGUCCGGAUUGACUGGGCGUAAAGCGCACGCAGGCGGACGCGCGCGUGGGGUGUGAAAUCUGGCCGCUUAACGGCCAGGCGCCAUCCCAUACGGCGGGUCUGGAGUGAUGCAGAGGGCGGUGGAAUUGCCGGUGUAGUGGUGAAAUUCGUAGAUAUCGAGAGGAACACCGGUGGCGAAGGCGGCCUUCUGGACAGUGACUGACGCUGAGACGCGAAAGCGUGGGGAGCAAACAGG